Molecule: ribosomal RNA, 497 nt
Filed under: uncultured bacterium
Lineage: Bacteria
Description: partial 16S ribosomal RNA
Rfam family: Bacterial small subunit ribosomal RNA
Source: RNAcentral
GAUGAACGCUGGCGGCGUGCCCAAUACAUGCAAGUCGAGCGAACAGACGAGGAGCUUGCUCCUCUGACGUUAGCGGCGGACGGGUGAGUAACACGUGGAUAACCUACCUAUAAGACUGGGAUAACUUCGGGAAACCGGAGCUAAUACCGGAUAAUAUAUUGAACCGCAUGGUUCAAUAGUGAAAGUCGGUUUUGCUGUCACUUAUAGAUGGAUCCGCGCCGCAUUAGCUAGUUGGUAAGGUAACGGCUUACCAAGGCAACGAUGCGUAGCCGACCUGAGAGGGUGAUCGGCCACACUGGAACUGAGACACGGUCCAGACUCCUACGGGAGGCAGCAGUAGGGAAUCUUCCGCAAUGGGCGAAAGCCUGACGGAGCAACGCCGCGUGAGUGAUGAAGGUCUUCGGAUCGUAAAACUCUGUUAUUAGGGAAGAACAAAUGUGUAAGUAACUAUGCACGUCUUGACGGUACCUAAUCAGAAAGCCACGGCUAACUACGUG